UGAGAGUUUGAUCCUAGCUCAGGAUGAACGCUGGCGGCGUGGAUAAGGCAUGCAAGUCGUGCGGUUCCGACGAAUCCCGCAAGGGAAUUGUUGGAAUAGCGGCAAACGGGUUAGUAACACGUAGGUAUUUGCCCCAAAGACGGGAACAACCAGCCGAAAGGUUGGCUAAUACCCGAUGGUCCCGUAAGGGUAAAGGCCCGGCGCAAGUCGUGGCCGCUUUGGGAGGAGCCUGCGGGCUAUCAGCUAGUUGGUGGGGUAACGGCCUACCAAGGCAAUGGCGGCUAGGGGGUGUGAGAGCACGACCCCCAACAUUGGGACUGAGACACGGCCCAGACUCCUACGGGAGGCAGCAGCCGAGAAUAUUCGACAAUGGGCGAAAGCCUGAUCGAGCGACGCCGCGUGUGGGAAGAAGAUCUGCGGAUUGUAAACCACUUUUAUCGGGGAAAAAAUCCAGCACCUUUUUGUUCUGGUGUAUUACGAGGCCAAAAAGGUGCUGGACUGAUUGUACCCGGUGAAUAAGGGGCUGCUAACUUCGUGCCAGCAGCAGCGGUAAUACGAAGGCCCCGAGCGUUAUCCGGAAUCAUUGGGCGUAAAGCGUGUGUAGGCGGUUGGUAUUGUCGGAGGUUAAAUAUCCUGGCCUAACCGGGAAGAUGCUUUCGAAACGUGCCGACUGGAGGGUGUGAGAGACUAGCGGAACUUACGGUGUAGGGGUGAAAUCCGUUGAUAUCGUAGGGAACACCAAAGGCGAAGGCAGCUAGUUGGCGCACUCUUGACGCUGAGACACGAAAGCGUGGGGAUCAAAAAGGAUUAGAUACCCUUGUAGUCC
Molecule: ribosomal RNA, 826 nt
Filed under: Candidatus Sungiibacteriota bacterium
Lineage: Bacteria; Candidatus Sungiibacteriota
Description: bacterial SSU rRNA
Rfam family: Bacterial small subunit ribosomal RNA
Source: RNAcentral